AUGCCUCAUCGCCCGAUUCCAUCCGGCCGAUCGCUGGGAGUGCCGUCGUCGGCGAGGCCUGCGUCCAUCGUUGCACCCUGUUCCCUGCCCCCUCCACCUCUCUUCUUCUCGUGUUCGCAACCAACCAUGAACUCCGGCCACCACCACCGUCCUUCGGCCGCUCGCCUCCACUACUACCGUCGGCCGUGCGGUGCGCCUGAGCUUGGCACGGCUGCAGCCGACCUCCUCCAUGACGUUUUCGACCAUCACCGGUCGCCUCCCUGUUGCAAUUGCGACGACCGGGUUGCAAGGGGCGACGGCGAACGAUGGCGGCGUUUCUGCAACAUCAUUUCCAUUGCAAAUUUUUUUGGCAAGAUCAUUUGUGCUGCAAAAUUUCCUUCCGCAAGGACACCCAUGUUGCAAAAAUGUGAAGCCGAAAAAAAUCUGCAACAUCAUCUAUAUUUCAAAUGGUUUCUGCAACAUGAGCUCUACUGCAAAGAGCUCUGCAAUACUACAUUUGUUACAAUGCUGAAGACGAUGAUAGCGUCAGAUCUAACGGCUACCGAGGCGGCAGAUUUUUUGAAAAGAUCUGUCGGCUGA
RNAcentral lists this ribosomal RNA (579 nucleotides) under Triticum aestivum (bread wheat). Its description in RNAcentral is "partial small subunit ribosomal RNA". Lineage: Eukaryota; Viridiplantae; Streptophyta; Magnoliopsida; Poales; Poaceae. The record is from RNAcentral.